CCAUGAAAUGAGCUGGCAGACGCCUACUUCCUCUGACGUCAAGAGGCAGCACAUGAUAGCCCUCCAGAGACACGUGGACUGUCUUGGAAACCAGGGUGGGGUGUGGCCAGGGACGGGCGUGUGCCUUUGUCCCAGGCCUGCUCAGCUGGACUGGUCCAUCGCACUCUCCCUGUGGUACCCUUGUAGGCAGGAAGCUGGUUUUGAUUGUGGCUGGAUCUAAGCUGAGAUGUCCACGAAGCUCGGGAAUCCUAACCACACCGUGGACCGGACUAUGAUACCUAAGGGAGAAUCAGUUAUGCAUAAGGGACCAGAAGAGGCGAGGAAACUUGUCCAGGGUCACGGAGGUGGCAGAGCUGAGAAUCAAACCCAGGAGGAUUACACUGUAAGCUCCGGAGGGGAACUGGGGGCUCAUUUCCCUGUCAACGUGUCUACAACCUGGUCAGACCGAGGAAAGCACUUUCGCCACACACCACCUGGAAGCAACACUUUUGAGAAGCUGGAGGCAGCAAGUUGAAUUUGAUGCCAUCCUUGCACUUUCAAGGAAGCUGUAUCCUCUGGAGUCCCCAUGCAUACCAGGCUGUCCAGUCUCAGAUACCUCACAAAAAGGACUAAAUACACUCGUUAACCACAGGCUUUGGUUGAUUUUGAAGUGACUGCUUCACGGGUACUUCAGGGGCCCUGAGCAGGGAACAAGAAAUCCACAGUAACCUCAAGGGCUUGGCUUGCGGUGAGAACUACCACGUGGCGGUGCGUAACACAAGCUGGCGUGCAGCUGGCCGUGCGCACCACAGAAAUGUUUGUCUGGUACACGCACCAGACGACAGCUCAGUAUCAGAGGGACUGAAAGGCACUCACGGAGAAAGUGUGGGUCCUUCAUUCCUGGGGAGGGGGGACCUGAUGGUUUAAACAUGAUAGCUCUUCCCCCCAAGUCUUUGAGUCUGCAUUGCUCAUGGUUGAACAUCUCAAGUAAACACGGUCCACAGCCCCAAUCUCUCAAACCUGUGACAGUCCUUUAGUCUAUAACACGGAUCAGGCAACUUAUUAAGAGGCUCCAUAUUUUAGCCUUUGCAAGCCUCACAGUCUAUUGCGAUCACCCAGCACUGCUGUGGGGGCCCCAGAGCAGCCACAGGCAGAAGGUAAACAGAUGGGUGUGGUGUUGUACCAAUAAACCUUUAUUUACAAAACCAGACAGCUGGCCCCUGGGCUGUAAUUGGUCUUUUGUGUCAA
Molecule: long non-coding RNA, 1227 nt
Organism: Camelus dromedarius (Arabian camel)
Lineage: Eukaryota; Metazoa; Chordata; Mammalia; Artiodactyla; Camelidae
Exons: 5
Source: RefSeq, a predicted model, not a curated record